This 966-nucleotide ribosomal RNA is filed under the name Rhizobium leguminosarum. RNAcentral describes it as "bacterial SSU rRNA". It matches the Rfam family "Bacterial small subunit ribosomal RNA", at positions 156 to 1178 of the family's 1533-position model. The record is from RNAcentral. Lineage: Bacteria; Pseudomonadati; Pseudomonadota; Alphaproteobacteria; Hyphomicrobiales; Rhizobiaceae.
ACGGUAGCUAAUACCGCAUAACGUCGCAAGACCAAAGAGGGGGACCUUCGGGCCUCUUGCCAUCAGAUGUGCCCAGAUGGGAGUAGGUGGGGUAACGGCUCACCUAGGCGACGAUCCCUAGCUGGUCUGAGAGGAUGACCAGCCACAGAACUGAGACACGGACUCCUACGAGUGGGGAAUAUUGCACCGCAAGCCUGAUGCAGCCAUGCCGCGGAAGAAGGCCUUCGGGUUGCUUUCAGCGGGGAGGAAUAAUAACCUCAGCGAUUGACGUUACCCGCAGAAAAAGCACCGGCUAACUCCGUGCCAGCAGCCGCGGUAAUACGGAGGGUGCAAGCGUUAAUCUACUGGGCGUAAAGCGCACGCAGGCGGUCUGUCAAAUCGGAUGUGAAAUCCCCGGGGCUCAACCUGGGAACUGCAGAAACUGGCAGGCUAGAGUCUUGUAGAGGGGGGUAGAAUUCCUGUAGCGGUGAAAUGCGUAGUCUGGAGGAAUACCGGUGGCGAAGGCGGCCCCCUGGACAAAGACUGACGCUCACGUGCGAAAGCGUGGGGAGCAAACAGGAUUAGACUACCCUGGUAGUCCAACCGCCGUAAACGAUGUCGACUUGGAGUGUUGUGCCCUUGAGGCGUGGCUUCCGGAGCUAACGCGUUAAGUCGACCCGCCCUGGGGAGUACGGCCGCGGUUAAAACUCAAAGUGAAUUGACGGGGGCCCGAACAAGCGGUGGAGCAUGUGGUUUAAUUCGAUGCAACGCGAAGAACCUUACCUACUCUUGACAUCCAGAGAACUUUCCAGAGAUGGAUUGGUGCCUUCGGGAACUCUGAGACAGGUGCUGCAUGGCUGUCGUCAGCUCGUGUUGUGAAAUGUUGGGUUAAGUCCCGCAACGAGCGCAACCCUUAUCCUUUGUUGCCAGCGCGUUAGGCCGGGAACUCAAAGGAGACUGCCAGUGAUAAACUGGAGGAAGGUGGGG